This 684-nucleotide ribosomal RNA is filed under the name Rhizopogon sp. RNAcentral's name for it is "LSU rRNA". It matches the Rfam family "Eukaryotic large subunit ribosomal RNA", at positions 32 to 687 of the family's 3401-position model. The record is from RNAcentral. Lineage: Eukaryota; Fungi; Basidiomycota; Agaricomycetes; Boletales; Rhizopogonaceae.
ACUUAAGCAUAUCAAUAAGCGGAGGAAAAGAAACUAACAAGGAUUCCCCUAGUAACUGCGAGUGAAGCGGGAAAAGCUCAAAUUUUGAAUCUGGCGGUCUUUUGGCCGUCCGAGUUGUAAUCUAGAGAAGUGUUUUCCGCGCUGGACCGUGUAUAAGUUUCCUGGAAUGGAACGUCGUAGAGGGUGAGAAUCCCGUCUUUGACACGGACUACCAGGGCUAUGUGAUGCGCUCUCGACGAGUCGAGUUGUUUGGGAAUGCAGCUCAAAUAGGGUGGUAAAUUCCAUCUAAAGCUAAAUACAGGCGAGAGACCGAUAGCGAACAAGUACCGUGAGGGAAAGAUGAAAAGAACUUUGGAAAGAGAGUUAAACAGUACGUGAAAUUGCUGAAAGGGAAACGCUUGAUGUCAGUCGCGUCGGCCGGGGAUCAGCCUUGCUUUACCGCUCGGCGUACUUCCUGGUCGACGGGUCAGCAUCAGUUUUGACCGUCGGAAAAGGACUGGAGGAAUGUGGCACUCUUUCGGGAGUGUGUUAUAGACUCUGCUCGAAUACGAUGGUUGGGACUGAGGAACUCAGCACGACCUUAGGGUUCGGGGCUUCGGCCUACGUUCGCGUGCUUAGGAUGCUGGCAUAAUGGCCUUAAGCGACCCGUCUUGAAACACGGACCAAGGAGUCUAACGUGCAUGC